GUGAAGAAACUGAGGAACACAGGAAGCAGUGACUGUCAAAAUCACACAUCUAGAAAUUAUGGAAUGAGAAUUCGGACAAAUGAAAAUGGAGAAGUUUGAGAGGCUGCUCUUUGUCUCUCUUCUGGAGGAUGUUCGUGUAUCUGAGCUGAAGGAGAUGGAGCGUGAAGAAGCUGAAAGAUCUAACAGAGAGGAAAGGCCGGAAGUUUGCAAGGAAGAUGGCUAAUUCAUGCCAAGGGGGUGAAAAAGUCAGACAUCUGGUUGCUGGUUGUAUUUCCUGCUGAAAUUCAG
Molecule: long non-coding RNA, 288 nt
Filed under: Fukomys damarensis (Damara mole-rat)
Lineage: Eukaryota; Metazoa; Chordata; Mammalia; Rodentia; Bathyergidae
Description: lncRNA (ENSFDAG00000032287.1)
Source: RNAcentral